ACCCCAUAUAACCCAUAUCUGCCCAUAUCCCCCCAUAUAACCCCAUAUAAACCCAUAUCUUGCACCCAGUAAUCCCCCUAUAUAACCCCAUAUCUCCCCAUAUCCCCACCAAUAUAACCCCAUAUCGCCCAUAUCCCCCCAUAUCACCCAAUCCCCCCCAUAAUAACCCCAAUCUGCCAUAUCCCCCCAUUAUAACCCCAUAUCUGCCCCAUAUCGCCCCCAUAUAACACCCCAUAGUAACCCCACUAUCCCACCCAUAUGGCCCCAUAAGCCCCCCAAUUUCAGCCCCCAUAGACACCCAAUAUGCCCAUAGGCCCAUUGCCACCCCAUACCCACAAAUAUCCCCCCCAAAGCCACCCCCAUAUGACACCCAUAGACACCCCAUAGACCCUAGAGACACCCCACUAUAACAGCAUCCCCCAUAUCCCCCCAUAUAUCCCCCCAUAAGACCCCAAUAUAACCCACUAUACCCAUUAUACCCAACUAUAACCCAUAUCAAAUUGCCCUAUCCCACCCAUAUACCCAUAUAACCCCAUAUUAACCCAUUCUCCCCAUAUCCCCCAUUAUUCUCUCUCUAACCCAUAUUCUGCACCACUCCCCCCAUAUCCCACUUAUAAACCCAUAUAAACUCACCAUAUCGCCCCAUUCAUCCCCCCCAUAUUACCCCAUAUAACCCCAUAUCCCCCCAUACCCGCAGCCCCCGAUGCCUCCUCGCCCCAUAGCCGUGCCCUACAAGCCGCCCGUCGCCGCGCUCUGAGCUCGGCCCUAUUGAGGGAACUGAGGGACGAGAUGGGGGACGGCCCCGAACACGUGGGGGGCAGCCAGCCCCAUAGCCAGCAGCAAAGCCGCACAGCCCUUGAGGAAUCCUUGUUGUGUCGGCUGAGCCCUGCCCCAUAGAGCCCCAUUGCCCCAUAGAGCCCCAUUGCCCCAUAGAUCCCUGCCCCAUAGAGCCCUGGCCCAUAGAGCCCUUCCCCCUAUAUCCCUGCCCCAUAGAGCCCCAUUGCCCCACAUAUCCCUGCCCCAUAGAGCCCCAUUGCCCCAUAGAUCCCUGCCCCAUAGAUCUUUUCCCCAUAGAGCCCUGCCCCAUAGAUCCCUGCCCCCUAUAUCCCUGCCCCAUAAGUGAGGCCCUGCCCCAUAGAGCCCCAUUGCCCCAUAGAUCCCUGCCCCCUAUAUCCCUGCCCCAUAGAUCCCUACCCUCUAUAUCCGUGCCCCAUAGAGCCCCAUUGCCCCACAUAUCCCUGCCCCAUAGAGCCCUGCCCCAUAGAUCCCCAUUACCCCAUAGAUCCCAGCCCCAUAGAGCCCUGCCCCAUAGAUCCCCAUUACCCCAUAGAUCCCUGCCCCAUAGAGCCCUGGCCCAUAGAGCCCUUCCCCCUAUAUCCCUGCCCCAUAGAGCCACAUUGCCCCAUAGAGCCCCAUUGCCCCAUAGAGCCCUGCCCCAUAUCUGCCCCACAUAUCCCUGCCCCAUAGAGCCCCAUUGCCCCAUAGAGCCCCAUUGCCCCAUAGAGCCCUGCCCCAUAGAUCUCUUCCCCAUAGAUCCCUGCCCCAUAGAGCCACAUUUUGCCCCCUCUCUGCCCCAUAUCUACCCCCCAUCUGCCCCACAUUU
Coturnix japonica (Japanese quail) is the source of this 1603-nucleotide long non-coding RNA. NCBI's taxonomy places the organism in Eukaryota, Metazoa, Chordata, Aves, Galliformes, Phasianidae. The record is from Ensembl.